AGUACCUUACUGUAUUUGAGCACACCCGAUUCUCGGGAUGGAAAAGACAGUAAGGAGGAAGUUGGAGUACAAUGGAAUGCAUUAUACCUGCACCUCCUUCAUUGGUUCCUGGAUGCCGAGAGCAACAACAAAGUGGCCGACACCCGGCAAAAGGGGGGUCAUUGGCAUAGGUGUCUCAUUUUUCUUGUACUACCACAACCCGCCUAUUCAAUUUGG
Caenorhabditis elegans is the source of this 216-nucleotide non-coding RNA. The record is from Ensembl. NCBI's taxonomy places the organism in Eukaryota, Metazoa, Nematoda, Chromadorea, Rhabditida, Rhabditidae.